This 253-nucleotide ribosomal RNA is filed under the name uncultured bacterium. RNAcentral describes it as "partial 16S ribosomal RNA". It matches the Rfam family "Bacterial small subunit ribosomal RNA", at positions 524 to 776 of the family's 1533-position model. The record is from RNAcentral.
UACGGAGGGUGCGAGCGUUAAUCGGAAUCACUGGGCGUAAAGCGCACGUAGGCGGCUUGGUAAGUCACAUGUGAAAGCCCUCGGCUCAACCGGGGAACUGCGUGUGAAACUACAUUGCUAGAGUACCAGAGAGGUAAGCGGAAUUUCCUGUGUAGCGGUGAAAUGCGUAGAUAUUCGAAGGAACACCGGUGGCGAAGGCGGCUACCUGGACCGAUACUGACGCUGAGACGCGAAAGCGUGGGGAGCAAACAGG